CCUAAGUGAAAAUGGGAAAAACAUCAGAUCAUGCUGACUCCCUAACUGGAAAGGUAGCUCCCAGGUUAGCUCCUCUCAAAGGGCUAUUUGUCAAGAUUGCCAGGAUCAGCAUGCAUCAUUCAGCCAGAUGGACCUCUACUUUCCUUGAAUUUGAACUGAUUUCCCAAAUUGGAGGCCUUAAGAGGCAAAACAAAAAGUCUGAGCUGAAUGUUUUCUCCCUAACUGAUGAGUCAGGGCCAGAGAGUCUGUGCUGA
This 254-nucleotide long non-coding RNA is filed under the name Rhinopithecus bieti (black snub-nosed monkey). RNAcentral describes it as "lncRNA (ENSRBIG00000045831.1)". Lineage: Eukaryota; Metazoa; Chordata; Mammalia; Primates; Cercopithecidae. The record is from RNAcentral.